RNAcentral lists this ribosomal RNA (517 nucleotides) under Fusarium tricinctum. RNAcentral's name for it is "eukaryotic LSU rRNA". The stretch from base 138 to 291 matches the Rfam family "5.8S ribosomal RNA". The record is from RNAcentral. Lineage: Eukaryota; Fungi; Ascomycota; Sordariomycetes; Hypocreales; Nectriaceae.
CUCCAACCCCUGUGAACAUACCUUAAUGUUGCCUCGGCGGAUCAGCCCGCGCCCCGUAAAACGGGACGGCCCGCCAGAGGACCCAAACUCUAAUGUUUCUUAUUGUAACUUCUGAGUAAAACAAACAAAUAAAUCAAAACUUUCAACAACGGAUCUCUUGGUUCUGGCAUCGAUGAAGAACGCAGCAAAAUGCGAUAAGUAAUGUGAAUUGCAGAAUUCAGUGAAUCAUCGAAUCUUUGAACGCACAUUGCGCCCGCUGGUAUUCCGGCGGGCAUGCCUGUUCGAGCGUCAUUUCAACCCUCAAGCCCCCGGGUUUGGUGUUGGGGAUCGGCUCUGCCUUCUGGCGGUGCCGCCCCCGAAAUACAUUGGCGGUCUCGCUGCAGCCUCCAUUGCGUAGUAGCUAACACCUCGCAACUGGAACGCGGCGCGGCCAUGCCGUAAAACCCCAACUUCUGAAUGUUGACCUCGGAUCAGGUAGGAAUACCCGCUGAACUUAAGCAUAUCAAUAAGCGGAGGA